Molecule: non-coding RNA, 29 nt
Filed under: Rattus norvegicus (Norway rat)
Lineage: Eukaryota; Metazoa; Chordata; Mammalia; Rodentia; Muridae
Source: RNAcentral
UGAUUGUUCAGUUUGCUGCUAAUGAUGCA